Molecule: transfer RNA, 83 nt
Filed under: Candidatus Omnitrophota bacterium
Lineage: Bacteria; Pseudomonadati; Candidatus Omnitrophota
Description: tRNA-Tyr
Rfam family: tRNA
About the family: Transfer RNA (tRNA) molecules are approximately 80 nucleotides in length. Their secondary structure includes four short double-helical elements and three loops (D, anti-codon, and T loops).
Source: RNAcentral
GGGUAGGUAGUGAAGUGGUCAAACACAACAGACUGUAAAUCUGUCGGCUUACGCCUUCGAAGGUUCGAAUCCUUCCCUGCCCA